CGGUUGACGGAACAGGCGGUAAUACGCUAAAAAUAAACGCCAUCACCUUUAAGGAUG
RNAcentral lists this transfer RNA (57 nucleotides) under Triparma pacifica. Lineage: Eukaryota; Bolidophyceae; Parmales; Triparmaceae. The record is from RNAcentral.